AGAGUUUGAUCAUGGCUCAGGACGAACGCUGGCGGCGUGCCUAACACAUGCAAGUCGAGCGAUGAAACCCUUCGGGGUGAAUUAGCGGCGGACGGGUGAGUAACACGUGGGUAACCUGCCUCAAAGAGGGGAAUAGCCUCCCGAAAGGGAGAUUAAUACCGCAUAAUAUGUUUUAGUCGCAUGACUGAAACAUCAAAGGAUUUUCUUUUAGAACUUCCACUUUGAGAUGGACCCGCGGCGCAUUAGCUAGUUGGUGAGGUAACGGCUCACCAAGGCAACGAUGCGUAGCCGACCUGAGAGGGUGAUCGGCCACAUUGGAACUGAGACACGGUCCAGACUCCUACGGGAGGCAGCAGUGGGGAAUAUUGCGCAAUGGGGGAAACCCUGACGCAGCAACGCCGCGUGAAUGAUGAAGGCCUUCGGGUUGUAAAGUUCUGUCUUCUGGGACGAUAAUGACGGUACCAGAGGAGGAAGCCACGGCUAACUACGUGCCAGCAGCCGCGGUAAUACGUAGGUGGCAAGCGUUGUCCGGAUUUACUGGGCGUAAAGGAUGCGUAGGCGGACAUUUAAGUCAGAUGUGAAAUACCCGAGCUUAACUUGGGUGCUGCAUUUGAAACUGGGUGUCUAGAGUGCAGGAGAGGUAAGUGGAAUUCCUAGUGUAGCGGUGAAAUGCGUAGAGAUUAGGAAGAACACCAGUGGCGAAGGCGACUUACUGGACUGUAACUGACGCUGAGGCAUGAAAGCGUGGGGAGCAAACAGGAU
RNAcentral lists this ribosomal RNA (762 nucleotides) under uncultured bacterium. Its description in RNAcentral is "bacterial SSU rRNA". It matches the Rfam family "Bacterial small subunit ribosomal RNA", at positions 8 to 778 of the family's 1533-position model. The record is from RNAcentral.